Molecule: ribosomal RNA, 347 nt
Filed under: uncultured delta proteobacterium
Lineage: Bacteria; Deltaproteobacteria
Description: bacterial SSU rRNA
Rfam family: Bacterial small subunit ribosomal RNA
Source: RNAcentral
AGAGGUCAAAGCCGGCCACUAUACAUAAGCUGGCGCUUGGAGAUGAGCCUGCGGCCCAUCAGCUAGUUGGUAGGGUAAUGGCCUACCAAGGCUAAGACGGGUAGCUGGUCUGAGAGGAUGAUCAGCCACACUGGAACUGAGACACGGUCCAGACUCCUACGGGAGGCAGCAGUGGGGAAUCUUGCGCAAUGGGCGAAAGCCUGACGCAGCGACGCCGCGUGGGUGAUGAAGGCCUUCGGGUUGUAAAGCCCUGUGGAGGGGGACGAAUAAGGGCAGCCUAAUACGCUGACCGAUGACGGUACCCCUUUAGCAAGCACCGGCUAACUCUGUGCCAGCAGCCGCGGUAA